AUGACAAACCAAAAUAGUGACGAAAGCCUUAGGGAUAUUCUAAGGUCCACAAACCAAAAUAGUGACGAAAGGCCAUUUGGUGGCAUGACAGUUGUGCUAGGAGGCGACUUCAGACAAAUACUUCCAGUGAUAACAAAGGGAAAGAGAGAGCACAUAGUAAAUGCCUCAAUCAAAAGGUCAUACCUAUGGAAGCACUUCGAAAUAUUUAGACUAACAGAGAACAUGCGGCUGAAGUGCCUGGUAGAAGAUCCAAUACAAAGGCAAAAUGUGGCUGAAUUUACAGAAUGGAUAUUACAAAUUGGCGAUGGAAAAAAACAAAUGAUGAAGGAGAUGAUUGGGUAA
Molecule: ribosomal RNA, 342 nt
Filed under: Triticum aestivum (bread wheat)
Lineage: Eukaryota; Viridiplantae; Streptophyta; Magnoliopsida; Poales; Poaceae
Description: partial small subunit ribosomal RNA
Source: RNAcentral